GUACUGGCUUUGGCAGCACAUGUACUAAAUUCUGAACAACUCAGAGAUUAGCACAGCCUUUGUGCAAGGAUGACACACAAAUUCAUGAAGUAUUCCAUAUUAUU
Molecule: small nuclear RNA, 104 nt
Organism: Fukomys damarensis (Damara mole-rat)
Lineage: Eukaryota; Metazoa; Chordata; Mammalia; Rodentia; Bathyergidae
Source: Ensembl